UACAUAGGCUCCAAGCGUCGUUCGGAAUUACUGGGCGUAAAGCGCGCGUAGGUGGCUUGAUAAGCCGGUUGUGAAAGCCCCGGGCUCAACCUGGGAACGGCAUCCGGAACUGUCAGGCUAGAGUGCAGGAGAGGAAGGUAGAAUUCCCGGUGUAGCGGUGAAAUGCGUAGAGAUCGGGAGGAAUACCAGUGGCGAAGGCGGCCUUCUGGACUGACACUGACACUGAGGUGCGAAAGCGUGGGUAGCAAACAGG
Molecule: unclassified non-coding RNA, 253 nt
Filed under: uncultured Halomonadaceae bacterium
Lineage: Bacteria; Pseudomonadati; Pseudomonadota; Gammaproteobacteria; Oceanospirillales; Halomonadaceae
Description: contains 16S-23S intergenic spacer region
Rfam family: Bacterial small subunit ribosomal RNA
Source: RNAcentral